GAUGAACGCUGGCGGCGUGCCUAAUACAUGCAAGUCGAGCGAACCUCUUCGGAGGUUAGCGGCGGACGGGUGAGUAACACGUGGGCAACCUACCUUGUAGAUGGGGAUAACAUCGAGAAAUCGGUGCUAAUACCGAAUGACACUUUUCUCCACAUGGAGAAAAGUUAAAAGUUGGCUUUUGCUAACACUACAAGAUGGGCCCGCGGCGCAUUAGCUAGUUGGUGAGGUAACGGCUCACCAAGGCGACGAUGCGUAGCCGACCUGAGAGGGUGAUCGGCCACACUGGGACUGAGACACGGCCCAGACUCCUACGGGAGGCAGCAGUAGGGAAUCUUCCGCAAUGGACGAAAGUCUGACGGAGCAACGCCGCGUAAGUGAUGAAGGCCUUCGGGUCGUAAAACUCUGUUGUUAGGGAAGAAUAAGUACCGUUCGAAUAGGGCGGUACCGUGACGGUACCUAACCAGAAAGCCACGGCUAACUACGUGCCAGCAGCCGCGGUAA
RNAcentral lists this ribosomal RNA (501 nucleotides) under uncultured bacterium. Its description in RNAcentral is "partial 16S ribosomal RNA". It matches the Rfam family "Bacterial small subunit ribosomal RNA", at positions 28 to 523 of the family's 1533-position model. The record is from RNAcentral.